CGGGGGGUCAGCACAGGUGGAUCUGCCGUCUGCCACAGCCCCGCAGCCGCGCCCCACCGCCGUAACGCGGCUCGUUGCGGUAAGUGAAGACCACAGGUGUAGCGUGGGCAGCGCUCGCUCGAACCUUCUCCUCAGGCCGGAGCCCCGCGCUUGGCUCGCCCCUCAGGGAGCAGCGCUUCACGCGCACCACAAGCGCCCCGUCCGCCUCUCACGUUCCUGUUUGGAUAUCGCAAAUGGGAAACGUUUUGUCAGACUGUGCUUCGUGGGAUGGGGAAUUCAAGUCUGGUUCUAUCCCCUGAUAGCAUCGCAGAACCACCUGAGGUGGAAGGGACCCUUUAAAGGCCAUGCAGGCCACUGCCGAUCAGGGGAGAGGGAAAGAAAGAUCCUCCAGCAAAACACUCGUUAGAAAGAAUUCCUCUUUCAUGGAAGCUGCAGUAGAUAACUGGAUUAAAGACCUGCAGGAAAUGGAAAAUGCAUUGCUCUGAGAUCAUAAAUGGACUUAUCAGAACAGCUGGACUCUAUUUACCACUUCAUCACAAGUUUGUGGACCUCCCAGGCACACCAAUUACUUCACAUCAGCUCUGAAUACCCACGACCGUUUGAUGUCCCACAUGAAGAGCUUCAUACUCACGUUCACCACUGGCUGCUGGCAUAGGAGAAUGAACAAAUGGGAAUAAGUUAUUUUUUGAAGCUAGCUGCUGCAAUGGAAGAAUCGUACUGAACUGUGCCCCAACCAAGGCUGUGGGAGAGAGAAACACUUGCUAGGCAUGGCAAAUCUGAUUCUAGAAAAUUGCAUUUAUAAGCAAAAGAAGUUGUAGGAACCAGCAGCGAAGCGUACAAGAUGACCCCAGACAUGAGAUAGAACAGUUCCAUUUUUGAAGUACAUUUAAAAGAAAAGUUUGCCACCAGCAAUUGGAGAGCUUAUUGUUUUCAAAAGAUUAACAAACUUAUUUUCCUACAACUUAAAGAUUGAAAAUCCGAAUUGUAAAUUCUGCGGAUGCUGCAAGGAACAUGGAGAAUGCAAGGUUUGAACAACUCCAAAUGGAACACAAGAUUGGACAAGUUCCCUACAUACAGUAUGGAGGA
This is a long non-coding RNA of Gallus gallus (chicken), 1086 nucleotides long. NCBI's taxonomy places the organism in Eukaryota, Metazoa, Chordata, Aves, Galliformes, Phasianidae. The record is from Ensembl.